GACGAACGCUGGCGGCGUGCCUAAUACAUGCAAGUAGAACGCACAGUUUAUACCGUAGCUUGCUACACCAUAGACUGUGAGUUGCGAACGGGUGAGUAACGCGUAGGUAACCUGCCUGGUAGCGGGGGAUAACUAUUGGAAACGAUAGCUAAUACCGCAUAAUAUUGAUUAUUGCAUGAUAAUUAAUUGAAAGGUGCAAUUGCACCACUACCAGAUGGACCUGCGUUGUAUUAGCUAGUAGGUGAGGUAACGGCUCACCUAGGCGACGAUACAUAGCCGACCUGAGAGGGUGAUCGGCCACACUGGGACUGAGACACGGCCCAGACUCCUACGGGAGGCAGCAGUAGGGAAUCUUCGGCAAUGGACGAAAGGCUGACCGAGCAACGCCGCGUGAGUGAAGAAGGUUUUCGGAUCGUAAAGCUCUGUUGUAAGAGAAGAACGGGUGUGAGAGUGGAAAGUUCACACUGUGACGGUAUCUGACCAGAAAGGGACGGCUAACUACGUG
This 505-nucleotide ribosomal RNA is filed under the name uncultured bacterium. RNAcentral's name for it is "partial 16S ribosomal RNA". It matches the Rfam family "Bacterial small subunit ribosomal RNA", at positions 28 to 507 of the family's 1533-position model. The record is from RNAcentral.